RNAcentral lists this ribosomal RNA (346 nucleotides) under uncultured bacterium. RNAcentral's name for it is "partial 16S ribosomal RNA". It matches the Rfam family "Bacterial small subunit ribosomal RNA", at positions 338 to 699 of the family's 1533-position model. The record is from RNAcentral.
CCUACGGGAGGCAGCAGUGGGGGAUAUUGGACAAUGGGGGGAACCCUGAUCCAGCGACGCCGCGUGAGUGAAGAAGUAUCUCGGUAUGUAAAGCUCUAUCAGCAGGGAAGAAGAAAUGACGGUACCUGAGUAGGAAGACCCGGCUAACUACGUGCCAGCAGCGGCGGUAAUACGUAGGGGGCAGGCGUUAUCCGGAAUUAUUGGGUGUAAAGGGAGCGUAGACGGUCAGGUAAGUGUGGAGUGAAAGGCGGGGGCCCAACCCCAGGACUGCUCUGGAAACUAUGUGACUGGAGUGCAGGAGAGGUUAGCCGAAUUGCUGGUGUAGCGGUGAAAUGCGUAGAUAUUA